CUAUGCGCCUUGCCAGCCCGCUCAGGUGUGCCAGCCGCCGCGGUAAUACGUAGGUGGCGAGCGUUGUCCGGAUUUACUGGGCGUAAAGGGAGCGUAGGCGGACUUUUAAGUGAGAUGUGAAAUACUCGGGCUCAACUUGAGUGCUGCAUUUCAAACUGGAAGUCUAGAGUGCAGGAGAGGAGAAUGGAAUUCCUAGUGUAGCGGUGAAAUGCGUAGAGAUUAGGAAGAACACCAGUGGCGAAGGCGAUUCUCUGGACUGUAACUGACGCUGAGGCUCGAAAGCGUGGGAGCAACAGG
Molecule: ribosomal RNA, 297 nt
Filed under: uncultured bacterium
Lineage: Bacteria
Description: partial 16S ribosomal RNA
Rfam family: Bacterial small subunit ribosomal RNA
Source: RNAcentral